UGCAUUCAAUUGAAAAUAUUUUUUCUUUCUUAUCUAGAAGAUGAAAAUGUUGGACAUCCUUUUUGGAAGCUGAAGAUUGUAAGCAUGAAAAAAUUGAUGGUGGUAUCCUUGGUUGUCAAAAACAAGAAGCUAUCAGCUGAUAUAAUGAUGGGGAGAAUGCUUUGAAAAAACUACUCACAAGAAUUUACAGACUCAUCUUCACAGUGCUGCUUCUUGCAAUAAUUCACAUAUAAUUAAAUUGUUUUGCUGGAAAAAGAUGAUCAACUUGAGAUUAAUCAGGAAAGAGUCUGGGAGAGGAUGAAGAAUACUCUGAAUACCUCUACA
Molecule: non-coding RNA, 324 nt
Organism: Parasteatoda tepidariorum (common house spider)
Lineage: Eukaryota; Metazoa; Arthropoda; Arachnida; Araneae; Theridiidae
Source: RefSeq, a predicted model, not a curated record